This 406-nucleotide ribosomal RNA is filed under the name uncultured bacterium. RNAcentral describes it as "partial 16S ribosomal RNA". It matches the Rfam family "Bacterial small subunit ribosomal RNA", at positions 30 to 526 of the family's 1533-position model. The record is from RNAcentral.
AUUGAACGCUGGCGGCAGGCCUAACACAUGCAAGUCGAACGAGUGGCGGACGGGUGAGUAAUGUCUGGGAAACUGCCCGAUGGAGGGGGAUAACUACUGGAAACGGUAGCUACUACCGCAUACCAUCGGAUGUGCCCAGAUGGGAUUAGCUAGUAGGUGGGGUAACGGCUCACAUCGGCGACGAUCCCUAGCUGGUCUGAGAGGAUGCCCCGCCACACUGGAACUGAGACACGGUCCAUACUCCUACGGGGUGCAGCAGUGGGAAAUAUUGCACAAUGGGCGAAAGCCUGAUGGAUCCAUGCCGCGUGUAUGACGAGGGCGUUCGGGUUGUAAAGUACUUUCAGCGAGGAGGCGGUACUCGCAGAAGAAGCACCGGCUAACUCCGUGCCAGCAGCCGCGGUAAUUC